Molecule: ribosomal RNA, 497 nt
Filed under: uncultured bacterium
Lineage: Bacteria
Description: partial 16S ribosomal RNA
Rfam family: Bacterial small subunit ribosomal RNA
Source: RNAcentral
GAUGAACGCUGGCGGCGUGCCUAAUACAUGCAAGUCGAGCGAACAGACGAGGAGCUUGCUCCUCUGACGUUAGCGGCGGACGGGUGAGUAACACGUGGAUAACCUACCUAUAAGACUGGGAUAACUUCGGGAAACCGGAGCUAAUACCGGAUAACAUGCUGAACCGCAUGGUUCGACAGUGAAAGACGGUCUUUCUGUCACUUAUAGAUGGAUCCGCGCCGCAUUAGCUAGUUGGUAAGGUAACGGGUUACCACGGCAACGAGGCGUAGCCGAACUGAUAGAGUGAUAGGCCACACUGGAACUGAGACACGGACCAGACUCCUACGGGAGGCAGCAGUAGGGAAUCGGCCGCAAUGGGCGAAAGCCUGACGGAGCAACGCCGAGCGAGUGAAGAAGGUCUUCGGAUCGUAAAACUCUGUUAUUAGGGAAGAACAAAUGUGUAAGUAACUAUGCACGUCUUGACGGUACCUAAUCAGAAAGCCACGGCUAACUACGUG